CAGCCGCCGCGGUAAUACAGAGGGUGCGAGCGUUAAUCGGAUUUACUGGGCGUAAAGCGUGCGUAGGCGGCUUCUUAAGUCGGAUGUGAAAUCCCUGAGCUUAACUUAGGAAUUGCAUUCGAUACUGGGAAGCUAGAGUAUGGGAGAGGAUGGUAGAAUUCCAGGUGUAGCGGUGAAAUGCGUAGAGAUCUGGAGGAAUACCGAUGGCGAAGGCAGCCAUCUGGCCUAAUACUGACGCUGAGGUACGAAAGCAUGGGGAGCAAACAGGAUUAGAUACCCGUGUAGUUCCUGUCUCUUAUAC
Molecule: ribosomal RNA, 301 nt
Filed under: uncultured bacterium
Lineage: Bacteria
Description: partial 16S ribosomal RNA
Rfam family: Bacterial small subunit ribosomal RNA
Source: RNAcentral